Molecule: ribosomal RNA, 1424 nt
Filed under: uncultured organism
Description: partial small subunit ribosomal RNA
Rfam family: Bacterial small subunit ribosomal RNA
Source: RNAcentral
UGAACGCUGGCGGCGUGCUUAACACAUGCAAGUCGAGCGAUGAAGUUUCCUUCGGGAAACGGAUUAGCGGCGGACGGGUGAGUAACACGUGGGUAACCUGCCUCAUAGAGUGGAAUAGCCUUCCGAAAGGAAGAUUAAUACCGCAUAAUGUUGAAAGAUGGCAUCAUCAUUCAACCAAAGGAGCAAUCCGCUAUGAGAUGGACCCGCGGCGCAUUAGCUAGUUGGUGGGGUAACGGCCUACCAAGGCGACGAUGCGUAGCCGACCUGAGAGGGUGAUCGGCCACAUUGGGACUGAGACACGGCCCAGACUCCUACGGGAGGCAGCAGUGGGGAAUAUUGCACAAUGGGGGAAACCCUGAUGCAGCAACGCCGCGUGAGUGAUGAAGGUUUUCGGAUCGUAAAGCUCUGUCUUUGGGAAAGAUAAUGACGGUACCCAAGGAGGAAGCCACGGCUAACUACGUGCCAGCAGCCGCGGUAAUACGUAGGUGGCGAGCGUUAUCCGGAUUUACUGGGCGUAAAGGGAGCGUAGGCGGAUGAUUAAGUGGGAUGUGAAAUACCCGGGCUCAACUUGGGUGCUGCAUUCCAAACUGGUUAUCUAGAGUGCAGGAGAGGAGAGUGGAAUUCCUAGUGUAGCGGUGAAAUGCGUAGAGAUUAGGAAGAACACCAGUGGCGAAGGCGACUCUCUGGACUGUAACUGACGCUGAGGCUCGAAAGCGUGGGGAGCAAACAGGAUUAGAUACCCUGGUAGUCCACGCUGUAAACGAUGAAUACUAGGUGUGGGGGUUUCAACACCUCCGUGCCGCCGCUAACGCAUUAAGUAUUCCGCCUGGGGAGUACGGUCGCAAGAUUAAAACUCAAAGGAAUUGACGGGGACCCGCACAAGUAGCGGAGCAUGUGGUUUAAUUCGAAGCAACGCGAAGAACCUUACCUACACUUGACAUCCCUUGCAUUACUCUUAAUCGAGGAAAUCCCUUCGGGGACAAGGUGACAGGUGGUGCAUGGUUGUCGUCAGCUCGUGUCGUGAGAUGUUGGGUUAAGUCCCGCAACGAGCGCAACCCUUGUCGUUAGUUACUACCAUUAAGUUGAGGACUCUAGCGAGACUGCCUGGGUUAACCAGGAGGAAGGUGGGGAUGACGUCAAAUCAUCAUGCCCCUUAUGUGUAGGGCUACACACGUGCUACAAUGGCUGGUACAGAGAGAUGCAAUACCGCGAGGUGGAGCCAAACUUAAAAACCAGUCUCAGUUCGGAUUGUAGGCUGAAACUCGCCUACAUGAAGCUGGAGUUACUAGUAAUCGCGAAUCAGAAUGUCGCGGUGAAUACGUUCCCGGGUCUUGUACACACCGCCCGUCACACCAUGAGAGUUGGCAAUACCCGAAGUCCGUGAGCUAACCGCAAGGAGGCAGCGGCCGAAGGUAGGGUCAGCA